RNAcentral lists this unclassified non-coding RNA (184 nucleotides) under rhizosphere metagenome. RNAcentral's name for it is "partial ribosomal RNA internal transcribed spacer region". The record is from RNAcentral.
GAGUAUCAUGCCCUUCGGGGUAGAUCUCCACCCUUGAAUAACAUACCUUUGUUGCUUUGGCAGGACGCACUCGUGCCAGGGGCUUCGGCUCUUGAGUGCCUGCCAGAGGACCACAACUCUGUAAUAAAUGUCGUCUGAGUACUAUAAAAUAGUUAAAACUUUCAACAACGGAUCUCUUGGUUCU